UUCGUUGAAGUUUGGAAGAAAAAAGUUUUUUGUAAUUGCUCCACAGCGUGGACGUGAUGGGAUCAAAAGAUGAAGUGAAUUGUGAUUUGAUCACAAUUCGUUGAAACGCUUUGCGCAGUUAAACCAAUUUUAAUAUGUGUACAAUUCUGGCCUUGACGCAGAUAAAGCGUCAUUUGAAGAAAUUAAGGAAAUUAGCUUAAAAUCAUAAACGAAAACCUCCGGGAAGAUACCAUAGAUUUCUUCCAACUUUGCGAUAUAAAUUUUCCACACCGACGAAGCACAAUCGCUGCUCGCUGCAACGCGCGCAGAGGAGCGCGUGGGUAAACGUAAACAAAGACACUAACCCCACAAAAUGUUGAACAUAAUAAACGAGAUCAUGAAGACUCAAUUUUGUUACUGGAAAAAAUCAUCAAGUAGAUAUCGCUGAUUUUUGUUUCAUCUUACUCGGAAUUUUUGAAAUCAUGGCGAAUUUAUUGAGAGAAUCUGGUUUUUUUAAUGCAGUUUUUGACUGGAACAAGUGUUUCGUAUGUGCUGCUUGUGCGCUGCCCUCGCUCCAAACGAUCCUGGAAUGAAUAACACGUCGAUCGAGAGUGAUUUUCGCUUCGAGGAUUCUCAGGAUCGAACGAACAGUUCAGGAACUACAACUUCGACACCAUCCUCGUGCUCGGAUUACGUUACGGGAGACGCGGAUGACAGUUCCGAGAGCAAUUUAGUCGUACCUUUCAGUCUCAAAUCCGUAGAGGCUCUCUUAGCUAUUUCCAAAACUACUACGCAGUUGGAUCUUCUAGAAAUGAUAGAAAAUUGCAAACGCAUGGUUUUAGACAGCAAAGAAUGCUCCGAGGAGAGGAAAUGGCUGGUAAGACGCCUCAUUGAGCUGCGGCUCAGAGCUCAUGAGCUGAGAGAAACGAGCGGUGAGAAUGUGAUGGAAACAAAAGUUGUCCUCGGACAUCAUUUAGUGCCUCAGAAAUAUUACAUCGCCACAACUUCUCCGACUUAUUGUGAUCCUUGUAGCAGAGCUAUCUGGACGAUUUUGCAAUCCUGGUACAUGUGUAGAGAUUGCAGUUUUUGUUGUCACUGGAAAUGCAUCAACAACAUCAGACGAGUGUGCGCUCACGUAGUUGCCUGUGAAACCGGCGGCUAUACUUACACCAUGAAAAUUUGUCCUGAGAAAGGACUUUCAGCCCAAGCUUAUCGUUGCGCCGAAUGCCAGACACGAAUAACUUUCGCUCUCUCUAAAGGAUUGUCACUGUCCUGUUUCGGCAGUCCCUUUAGACAAUCAGAGUCUGCCUGGAUUGAGCCUCGUCUCUGCGACUAUACCGGCCUGUUCUACUGCCAGCGAUGCCACUGGAAUUCAACGGCAGUCAUUCCAGCAAGAGUUAUAAGAAACUGGGACAUGGAGCCUCGAAAAGUUUGUCGUUCUUCUGCCCAAAUUCUUGCCAUCCUCGAAGACCGACCGGUUCUGCAAUUGGAAGAAUUGAACACGAAACUUUUUGGGCUCAUUCCAGAUUUGACAUUAAUCAAGCACCUUCGAGAAGAGUUACAAAUGAUGAAAAGUUACUUGGUAUUUUGUCCGGAGGCCGACAUCGAGGGAUUGCCCUGGCGAGUUGGUUUGCGUACGCAUUUUAUCGAGAAUUCAGGCAACUAUUCGAUAAGGGAUUUGAUAGAUUUGCAGAAUGGAAUUCUCAUGGAUGAGAUCCGAUCGGCAUACGACACGAUGCAGUAUCACAUUGCGGAGUCUUGCGAAUUGUGCAAAGCGAGGGGUCAUCUUUGCGAGAUAUGCGGCAACGAUGAAGUCAUUUAUCCUUGGGAAGCGAGCGCGGUUUCAUGUCGAGAGUGCAGGGCGGUUCACCAUCGAGCUUGCUGGUCGAAGCGCAAUAAUUGUUGCCCGAAGUGUGCGAGGAUCGAGCAGCGCAUGGCCCUCAAGUCGAAAGGCGAUCCGAGGGACCUCGAAGACGAAAAUUCGACGAGCGAUCCUCACUCAAGUCCCAUUUUACGGCAGAAUUGAAUUAGCGGAAAUUUGCUUAAGGAGGGUGCAUUACGAGUUUGCGGGGCAGGCGGUGAGAGAGAAACGGUUUUGCUUAUGCACGCCAGUCCAAGCUCAUUACCAACUGCUGAGAUCUACAUUUUUUAAAUUACUCGUCGCCACCGAGCAAGCAACGAUGCGUAACGAGCAUGAGAAGCGAAAAACAGCGAAACUGGAAAACUGGACGGAAGAAGCGUGAAUCGGGAGCUCGAGAAAAUUCACAUUUCCCAUGGAGAUCCGGAGAUGGUAAAAAUUCAAUUUAAAUCGACUCGAUCGAAUGAGCGAUUCAGCUGCGAUGAACCAAGCUGGAAUCUCCGAUCACGUAAUCUCCUCGCUCUUGCUAUCAACACUGCAAAAAUAUUCCAGCUAAAACGAGAAGAAUAAAGUAGAGAAUAUACAAUUAUGAAAUAACUUUGAAAAUUAAUGCGAGAGUCGCUCGCCGAUGUGAGGAGGUUUCCCCUUCCAUUGCCCUCCUCCUACUCUGUCCUUGAGGCAGUUCGAAGAGCCUGAACGGGUCGUCGUGAAAAACCCUCGUGCGAAGGAAGAAGGAUUUUGAGGAAAACACUGAGGACCGGAUGAGCUUCUGCAUCGCUUUUGGACAAUUGGAUUACGAAUAAGAGCAAAAUAACUUAAAAACGUUUUUUUCGAAUGGACUUUCAAACCGGAGAGU
Molecule: unclassified non-coding RNA, 2693 nt
Filed under: Venturia canescens
Lineage: Eukaryota; Metazoa; Arthropoda; Insecta; Hymenoptera; Ichneumonidae
Description: differentially expressed in FDCP 8 homolog, transcript variant X7
Source: RNAcentral